This 66-nucleotide transfer RNA is filed under the name Bolanusoides shaanxiensis. RNAcentral describes it as "tRNA-Ala". The record is from RNAcentral. Lineage: Eukaryota; Metazoa; Arthropoda; Insecta; Hemiptera; Cicadellidae.
AGGGUUAUAUUUAAUUAUAAUAUUUGACUUGCAUUCAAAAGGUGUUGAAAUGACAGACUAACCUUA